This 806-nucleotide ribosomal RNA is filed under the name uncultured bacterium. RNAcentral describes it as "bacterial SSU rRNA". It matches the Rfam family "Bacterial small subunit ribosomal RNA", at positions 63 to 869 of the family's 1533-position model. The record is from RNAcentral.
CGAACGAGGGUCCUUCGGGACUCGAGUGGCGAACGGGUGAGUAACACGUAGGGAACCUGCCCGUGCGACCGGGAGAACUUUCGGAAACGGAAGCUGAUACCGGAUAGGGACAGAGACGGCAUCGACUCUGUGUUAAAGGAGCUGAAAGGCUCCGCGCACGGAUGGACCUGCGGUGCAUUAGCUGGUUGGUGAGGUAACGGCCCACCAAGGCGACGAUGCAUAGCCGGCCUGAGAGGGCGGACGGCCACACUGGGACUGAGACACGGCCCAGACUCCUACGGGAGGCAGCAGUAGGGAAUUUUCGUCAAUGGGCGCAAGCCUGAACGAGCAAUGCCGCGUGAACGAGGAAGGUCUUCGGAUCGUAAAGUUCUGUUGAAGGGGAAAAAGAGCGGAGAGAGGAAAUGGUCUCCGAUUGAUAUUACCCUUCGAGGAAGUCACGGCUAACUACGUGCCAGCAGCCGCGGUAAUACGUAGGUGGCGAGCGUUAUCCGGAAUGAUUGGGCGUAAAGGGUGCGUAGGCGGCCUGCUAAGUCUGGAGUGAAAGGUACCGGCUCAACCGGUACAGGCUCUGGAAACUGGCGGGCUAGAGAGCAGGAGAGGGCGGUGGAACUCCAUGUGUAGCGGUAAAAUGCGUAGAUAUAUGGAAGAACACCAGUGGCGAAGGCGGCCGCCUGGCCUGUUACUGACGCUGAGGCACGAAAGCGUGGGGAGCAAAUAGGAUUAGAUACCCUAGUAGUCCACGCCGUAAACGAUGAGGACCAAGUGUUGGGGAAGACCCAGUGCUGCAGUUAACGCAGUGAGUCCUC